CCCUUAGAUGUUCUGGGCCGCACGCGCGCUACAAUGGCAGACUCAGCGAGUUACCUCUGUCGAAAGGCACAGGGAAUCUUUACAGUAUCUGCCGUGAUGGGGAUAGACCCUUGUAAUUUUUGGUCUUCAACGAGGAAUUCCGAGUAAACGCAAGUCAUUAACUUGCAUUGAUUACGUCCCUGCCCUUUGUACACACCGCCCGUCGCACCUACCGAUUGAAUGGUCCGGUGAAGUCCUCGGACCCAGUUGAACCUCGAGUUGAACAGGGAAAGUUGACUAAAUCUUACCAUUUAGAGGAAGGUGAAGUCGUAACA
RNAcentral lists this ribosomal RNA (314 nucleotides) under uncultured eukaryote. RNAcentral describes it as "partial 18S ribosomal RNA". It matches the Rfam family "Eukaryotic small subunit ribosomal RNA", at positions 1470 to 1796 of the family's 1831-position model. The record is from RNAcentral.